RNAcentral lists this transfer RNA (71 nucleotides) under Marmota monax (woodchuck). Its description in RNAcentral is "tRNA.Ala". It matches the Rfam family "tRNA". Rfam says of the family: Transfer RNA (tRNA) molecules are approximately 80 nucleotides in length. The record is from RNAcentral. Lineage: Eukaryota; Metazoa; Chordata; Mammalia; Rodentia; Sciuridae.
GGGGUUGUGGCUCAGUGGUAGAGCACUCUUGUAGCACGUGUGAGGCCUUGAGUUCGAUCCUCAGCACCACA